RNAcentral lists this ribosomal RNA (616 nucleotides) under Papiliotrema laurentii. Its description in RNAcentral is "eukaryotic LSU rRNA". It matches the Rfam family "Eukaryotic large subunit ribosomal RNA", at positions 38 to 644 of the family's 3401-position model. The record is from RNAcentral. Lineage: Eukaryota; Fungi; Basidiomycota; Tremellomycetes; Tremellales; Rhynchogastremaceae.
GCAUAUCAAUAAGCGGAGGAAAAGAAACUAACAAGGAUUCCCCUAGUAACGGCGAGUGAACCGGGAAGAGCUCAAAUUUGAAAUCUGGCGUCCUCAGGGCGUCCGAGUUGUAAUCUAUAGAGGCGUUUUCCGUGCCGGACCGUGUCCAAGUUCCUUGGAACAGGAUAUCAAAGAGGGUGACAAUCCCGUACUUGACACGACGACCGGUGCUCUGUGAUACGUCUUCUACGAGUCGAGUUGUUUGGGAAUGCAGCUCAAAAUGGGUGGUGAGUUCCAUCUAAAGCUAAAUAUUGGCGAGAGACCGAUAGCGAACAAGUACCGUGAGGGAAAGAUGAAAAGCACUUUGGAAAGAGAGUUAAACAGUACGUGAAAUUGUUGAAAGGGAAACGAUUGAAGUCAGUCGUGACCGAGAGGCUCAGCCGGUUCUGCCGGUGUAUUCCCCUCGGUCGGGUCAACAUCAGUUUUGUCCGGUGGAUAAGGGCGGUAGGAAGGUGGCACCCUCGGGUGUGUUAUAGCCUGCCGUCGCAUACAUCGGGUGAGACUGAGGAACGCAGCUCGCCUUUAUGGCCGGGGUUCGCCCACGUCCGAGCUUAGAUGUUGACAUAAUGGCUUUAAA